AAAAGGUUGGGGUUGAAAAUGUGAAGCUGAAGACGAAAGACGAUGAAAGAAACGGAGUUUGCUCAUCCUUUCACAGUUCCACUCUCCUGCUCAGGACUCAUCACUGCUCCAAUCCAACAAAUUUCAAUACACACACCUUCUGUCCAAACUGAAAUUCAAAGGAAAUUAUAGAUUUCUAUUUUUUGAAAAAAUAAAUAAUCACAGACCAGCUUGAAGAGGAGAAGAGAAAACUGCUCCCUCUAAGGCAGUUUUUGGUUCUACUAAAAUUGGGACAAGUAUGAAGAGCAUGCUAUAGCCUUCCUGGAGCAAAGGUUUCAUAUGCUACACGUAUGGAUGUUGAGGUGGUAGAUGUUGAAGGGAAUAAAGGAGACGAUCAUAUGAUGGUAAAUGCUGAUUCCAAUAAGUCUGAGAAACUUAAUGUAACUGAAGAUUCUUCAGAAGUAAUGGUUGGAAAUCAGGAUGAUGAUGGAAGUGCUUUACCACGUGUGGGUAUGGAGUUUGAAUCAGAGGAUGUUGCCAAGGCAUUCUAUGAUGCAUAUGCCAGGCGUAUGGGAUUUAGCUCUCAUGUUGGUCAAUUUAAUCGCGCUAAGCCUGAUGGGCCGAUUGUAACUUGGGAUUUUGCAUGUUCCCGAGAGGUGCUUAAAAGAAGGAAUUUUGAGUGCUGCAAUGCCAUGCUUAGGAUAGAGAGAAAGAAUUCAGACACUUGGGUUGUGACAAAAUUUGUAGAGGACCAUAACCAUUCUAUGGUGAUUCCUAGUAAGGUUCAUUACCUUCGACCUCGUAGGCAUUUUGCUGGUGCUACAAAGAAUGUGACUGAAACACUAGAUGCCACUAGUGAUGUUUAUGUUUCUAUUGAGGGGAAUCAUGUAUCUAAUGAACAAAAUCGUGUUAGGAAUGUAUCCCUUGGAGAACCUAAUCACCCAGUUAGGAAUGUUGUGCAUGCACCUAUGAAUUAUGUGAGUCCUCCUAGCAGAAAAAGGAACCUUGGAAGAGAUGCACAAAAUCUUUUGAACUAUUUCCAGAAAAUGCAGGCUGAGAACCCUGGCUUCUAUUAUGCAAUACAACUAGAUGAUGAUAAUCGCAUGACUAAUGUCUUCUGGACUGAUGCAAGAUCAAGGAUGGCUUAUAGUCACUUUGGCGAUGCUGUUGUUUUUGACACAAUGUAUAGACCAAAUCAAUAUCAGGUCCCAUUUGCUCCUUUCACAGGUGUUAAUCAUCAUGGUCAGAUGGUAUUAUUCGGCUGUGCAUUGCUUCUAGAUGAGUCUGAGUCUUCCUUUACUUGGCUAUUUAGGACAUGGCUAUCUGCAAUGAAUGACCGACCUCCUGUUUCUCUUACCACUGACCAAGAUAGAGCCAUACAAAUGGCAGUUGCUCAGGUGCUUCCAGAUACUCGCCAUUGUAUCUGCAAGUGGCACAUCUUGAGGGAAGGCCAAGAAAGGUUGUCUCACAUAUACCUUUCUCAUCCAUCCUUUUAUGGAGAGCUGUAUAGCUGCAUUAAUUUUUCUGAGACAAUUGAGGAUUUUGAAUCGUCAUGGGGCAGUCUUUUGGAUAAAUAUGAUCUCCAGAAAAAUGAGUGGCUUCAGGCUGUGUAUAAUGCUCGCAAACAGUGGGCACCAGUUUAUUUUCGUGGCACUUUCUUUGCUGCACUUUCUUCAAACCAAGGGGUCAGCUCUUUUUUUGAUGGGUAUGUAAAUCAACAAACCACAAUACCUCUGUUUUUUAAGCAGUAUGAAAGAGCUCUUGAGCAUUCUCUAGAAAAAGAAAUAGAAGCAGAUUAUGAUACAAUUUGCACCACUCCAGUGCUUAAGACGCCAUCACCAAUGGAACAACAGGCAGCAAACCUCUAUACCAAGAAAGUGUUUGCAAAGUUUCAGGAAGAACUAGUUGAAACUUUUGUAUAUACAGCAAAUAACAUAGAGGGUGAUGGGGUUGUGAGUAAAUAUAGGGUUGCAAAAUAUGAACAUGAUGACAAGGCAUACAUAGUGACAUUGAACAUUUCUGAGAUGAAGGCAAGUUGCAGUUGCCAGAUGUUUGAAUACUGUGGCAUUCUCUGUCGGCAUAUAUUAACUGUAUUCACUGUAACCAAUGUUCUUACCCUUCCAUCCCACUACAUAUUGAAAAGAUGGAAAAGGAGUGCCAAUUCUUGGGUUGGGUUAGAGGAACGAAGUGCAGAUCUCCAAGCUAUUGAAACCCUGACCUCACGCUUUAACAAUCUAUGUAUGGAAGCUAUUAAAUAUGCAGAAGAAGGGUCAAUUGCUGUUGAGACCUAUAAUUUGGCAAUCAGUGCUUUAAGAGAGGGUGUGAAAAAGAUUGCUGCUAUGAAGAAAAAUGUUGCUAAUGUUGCAUCUCCUAGCUCUCAGGGCAGUGGUAACAGUCUGGAAGAAACUAACAAGAAAAUCCCCUUUUCAGUUCCUGAAAUGGUUCCAUCAAUGUGGCACUGGCAGGAUGCUAUGCCACAUCAGUUUAAUCUUAAUGAUGUGGGAGUACCUGUUACUGAUUUGAACCAGCCCAGCAUGGCUCCUGUGUCUAUCCACCGUGAUGGUGGUCUUCCUGAUAACACGGUGGUUCUUACUUAUUUUAAGUCCAUGACUUGGGUAAUAGAGAAUAAGACUUCAACGCCAGCUGGAAAAGUAGCUGUCAUCAACUUGAAGCUGCAAGAUUAUGGCAAGAAUCCAUCAGGGGAAACAGAGGUGCAGUUUAGGCUAACAAGGGUCACACUGGAACCUAUGUUGAGAUCCAUGGCUCACAUAAGUCAGCAGCUUUCAACACCAGUCAAUCGAGUUGCUGUCAUUAAUCUGAAGCUCCAAGAUACCAAAAUAACAACUGGAGAAACAGAGGUGAAAUUCCAGGUUUCUAGAGAUACACUGGCUUCCAUGUUGAGAUCAAUGGCAUAUAUCCGUGAGCAAUUAUGACACCAGUUUUGCUGAGCACUUCAUUCUAAUGAUGAAUCAUGUAAGCAAAGGGUAUAGUGAGUGAGAAUUUCUUUUGGCAAGGUGAGCUUAAAUCGGCUUCACAAAGCUGGCAGCAUUAGAGGCACCAAGGGCGUAAUCCCUUUCAGUUGAUACACCAUUGUGUAUUAUACAAAUGUUACGUUGACAUAGUUUGGAUGUAGAUGUAGUUAGGUAUGGGAUUUCUAUUUUAUUGAGCGAACUUGGUUUAGCUGAGUCUAUUCUUAUCUCUAACUUCUAGAUAGUGCAAGAUUCGCUUUACCUAUGUGCUGGAAAAUCUAUUUGUACAUGUAAGUUUCCAACACAUAUUUACUGAUUGAGCAUUGCAUAUAUGUUGUAUUUAAACUUGGAACAUAGUGCCUCUUUCUAUGUUUUGAACUUUGGUGAUUCGUUAAGUUCUUUUUCUAAUUUUGUAUCGCACAAUCGUGCCUGCGAAAACAGAAACCUUUGAGACGUUUCUUUACCAUAUUUUAUUUUAUUGUAUUUUUUUUUAAAUUCUGC
This 3449-nucleotide unclassified non-coding RNA is filed under the name Hevea brasiliensis (rubber tree). Lineage: Eukaryota; Viridiplantae; Streptophyta; Magnoliopsida; Malpighiales; Euphorbiaceae. The record is from RNAcentral.